UACGAGGGGGGCAAGCGUUGUUCGGAAUUAUUGGGCGUAAAGGGCGCGUAGGCGGUGCGGUAAGUCACCUGUGAAAACUCUGGGCUCAACUCAGAGCCUGCAGGCGAAACUGCCGUGCUUGAGUGUGGGAGAGGUGCGUGGAGUUCCCGGUGUAGCGGUGAAAUGCGUAGAUAUCGGGAGGAACACCUGUGGCGAAGGCGGCGAUCUGGGAAGAUACUGACGCUGAGGUGCGAAAGCGUGGGGAGCAAACAGG
RNAcentral lists this ribosomal RNA (253 nucleotides) under uncultured bacterium. RNAcentral describes it as "partial 16S ribosomal RNA". It matches the Rfam family "Bacterial small subunit ribosomal RNA", at positions 524 to 776 of the family's 1533-position model. The record is from RNAcentral.